GUCUAUGGUCAUACCACUCUGAAUGCACCUGAUCUCAUCUGCUCAGAUUAGUACUUGAAUGGGAGACUGCUUGGAAAUACCAGGUACCUUAGGUU
RNAcentral lists this ribosomal RNA (95 nucleotides) under Carlito syrichta (Philippine tarsier). Lineage: Eukaryota; Metazoa; Chordata; Mammalia; Primates; Tarsiidae. The record is from RNAcentral.